This 204-nucleotide ribosomal RNA is filed under the name uncultured bacterium. RNAcentral describes it as "partial 16S ribosomal RNA". It matches the Rfam family "Bacterial small subunit ribosomal RNA", at positions 28 to 219 of the family's 1533-position model. The record is from RNAcentral.
GACGAACGCUGGCGGCGUGCUUAACACAUGCAAGCCGAGCGAGAGCCAGCUGAGGGGGUAACCCUCGGCUGGGGACAGCGGCGAACGGGUGCGUAACACGUGGGCAACCUGCCCCUGACACUGGGAGUAACCCCGGGAAACCCGGGAGCUAAUACCGGAUACUCUCGGCCGAUCACAUGGCUGGCCGAGGAAAGGUCCGCCGGU